AGCUCCAAUAGCGUAUAUUAAAGUUGUUGCUAUAAAAAGCUCGUAGUUUGAUCUCGGCGGGCAGGGGGUGGUUUGCUCUUCAGCGCUACUGCCCCGUUUUGCCCAUGUGAUUGGCAGAGGUUUUGGGGUGCUCUUCAUUGAGUAACUCAGAGUGCCGUCAGGUUUACUUUGAAAAAAUUAGAGUGCUCAAAGCAGGCUUUUCACACUUGAAUAUUUGUGCAUGGAAUAAUGGAAUAGGAACUCGUUUCUAUUUUGUCGGUUUUCGGAAAUCGAGUUAAUGAUUAACAGGUACAAUUUGGGGCAUUAGUAAUCAGACAACAGGGUGAAAUUCUUGGACCAUCUGAAGACUGAAUACUGCGAAAGCAUUUGCCAAGAGUGUUUUCA
This 384-nucleotide ribosomal RNA is filed under the name uncultured eukaryote. Its description in RNAcentral is "SSU rRNA". It matches the Rfam family "Eukaryotic small subunit ribosomal RNA", at positions 587 to 972 of the family's 1831-position model. The record is from RNAcentral.